Molecule: ribosomal RNA, 253 nt
Filed under: uncultured bacterium
Lineage: Bacteria
Description: partial 16S ribosomal RNA
Rfam family: Bacterial small subunit ribosomal RNA
Source: RNAcentral
UACGUAGGUGGCGAGCGUUGUCCGGAUUUACUGGGCGUAAAGGGAGCGUAGGCGGACUUUUAAGUGGGAUGUGAAAUACUCGGGCUCAACUUGAGUGCUGCAUUUCAAACUGGAAGUCUAGAGUGCAGGAGAGGAGAAUGGAAUUCCUAGUGUAGCGGUGAAAUGCGUAGAGAUUAGGAAGAACACCAGUGGCGAAGGCGAUUCUCUGGACUGUGACUGACGCUGAGGCUCGAAAGCGUGGGGAGCAAACAGG